AUUUUGUCAAUAUCCCUGAGGCACAGGUGGUUUCAGAGUUGGAUGACCCUUGCACAUUAUGUGUGUUCCAGGCUCCCUCACUGAGGAGCCUGGUGGAGACUCUGGAGACAGCCUUAGUCUCUGACAGCCUCUCUUCCGGGUCUACCAUCUCCAAUUUCUCCACCCAACAGGAGACAGACACAGUGUUGGGAAGCCAGGUCAUUGUCACAGGUGCUGAAAUGGAGGACCAAGGCCACCAUGUCCCAGCCCUGUCAGAAAACCCGGAGCUCAUGGAAGAAGAGGCCGAAGCUGCAGGGCCACCUCUGGUGCUUGGGGACGCUCCAGCUCAAAUUCCACCACCUCCACCACCUGAGAUCGAGCUGGAGCUGGAAGGACCUGUAAUGGCAGAUCCUGACCAAGAACUCCUGCUGGACCCUCAGGCAGUGCCUCUUACUGAGACCAACCCAGAGCCUCCAUUCCUUGCCCCUAAUUUCCUUUUUUUCGUUUUGUUUAUUUUAAUGUUUUAUAUUUUAUGUACAGUUUGCUUGCUUUAAAAUCAAACAUUAUACUUGUUUAUGAAAAUAUACAGGUUAUUGGCAUUAAGUGCAUUCUCUAAACUGUUCACUAGUCACCACUAUGUCAUUCCACUGGCCCUUUGGGGAGCAUUUCAGAUUCAAAUU
Molecule: long non-coding RNA, 659 nt
Filed under: Ictidomys tridecemlineatus (thirteen-lined ground squirrel)
Lineage: Eukaryota; Metazoa; Chordata; Mammalia; Rodentia; Sciuridae
Description: lncRNA (ENSSTOG00000034921.1)
Source: RNAcentral